CAUGUCCUUUAGAAUUUAAUUUAAGGUCUUAACCUGCCCACUGAUAAAAUUAAAUGGCCGCAGUAUUUUAACUGUGCAAAGGUAGCAUAAUCAUUAGUCUUUUAAUUGAAGGCUUGUAUGAAUGGUUGGACGAAAUAUUAACUGUUUCAUAAAAAUUUGUUUAGAAUUUUAUUUUUUAGUUAAAAAGCUAAAAUUUUUUUAAAAGACGAGAAGACCCUAUAGAUCUUUAUAAUUUAUUUGUUAUAGUUAUAUAGAUUAUUUAAAUUAUGAUUUUAUAAGUUAUUUUGUUGGGGUGACAUUAAAAUUUAAUAAACUUUUAAUAAAUUUUUACAUUAAUUUAUGAUUAAUUGAUCCAUUAUUAGUGAUUAUAAAAUUAAGUUACCUUAGGGAUAACAGCGUAAUUUUUUUGAAGAGUUCAUAUCGAUAAAAAAGAUUGCGACCUCGAUGUUGGAUUAAGAUAUAAUUUUGGGUGCAGCAAUUCAAUAAUUAAGUCUGUUCGACUUUUAAUUUCUUACUGU
RNAcentral lists this ribosomal RNA (518 nucleotides) under Ectinorhynchus brunneus. RNAcentral describes it as "partial 16S ribosomal RNA". It matches the Rfam family "Bacterial large subunit ribosomal RNA", at positions 1816 to 2602 of the family's 2925-position model. Lineage: Eukaryota; Metazoa; Arthropoda; Insecta; Diptera; Therevidae. The record is from RNAcentral.